RNAcentral lists this ribosomal RNA (440 nucleotides) under uncultured bacterium. RNAcentral describes it as "partial 16S ribosomal RNA". It matches the Rfam family "Bacterial small subunit ribosomal RNA", at positions 338 to 795 of the family's 1533-position model. The record is from RNAcentral.
CCUACGGGUGGCAGCAGUGGGGAAUAUUGCACAAUGGAGGGAACUCUGAUGCAGCGACGCCGCGUGAGUGAAGAAGUAAUUCGUUAUGUAAAGCUCUAUCAGCAGGGAAGAAAGUGACGGUACCUGAAAAAGAAGCUCCGGCUAAAUACGUGCCAGCAGCCGCGGUAAUACGUAUGGAGCAAGCGUUAUCCGGAUUUACUGGGUGUAAAGGGGGCGUAGACGGGAAUGCAAGUCUGGAGUGAAAGGGGGGGGCUCACCCCCCGGACGGCUCUGGAAACUGGGUAACUGGAGUGCAGGAGAGGCAGGCGGAAUGCGUAGUGUAGCGGUGAAAUGCGUAGAUAUUAGGAGGAACACCAGUGGCGAAGGCGGCCUGCUGGACUGUAACUGACGUUGAGGCUCGAAAGCGUGGGGAGCAAACAGGAUUAGAUACCCGAGUAGUC